This 565-nucleotide long non-coding RNA is filed under the name Fukomys damarensis (Damara mole-rat). RNAcentral's name for it is "lncRNA (ENSFDAG00000029740.1)". The record is from RNAcentral. Lineage: Eukaryota; Metazoa; Chordata; Mammalia; Rodentia; Bathyergidae.
GCGCAUGCGUAUUGACAGCAGAAAAGGCGGGAAACGCACAGCACCCCGGGAGGUGUGGCUUUGUUACUGAAUCCUCCGGCGCUACCCCCACAAGGCUCUGCUCGCACGCAGGCGCAUGCGUAUGGACAGCAUAAACGGCGGGAAACGCGCAGCACUCGAGGAGGUGUAGCUUUGUUGCAGCGUCCUCUGUCCUCCGGCGCUGGGCCCAGUAAGCCGCUCAAGCAAGAAGUUAUGAAGGAGAUCUCAUCUUCAGAGGAAGAAAAAAAAGGUGGAGGAAUCUCUCACUUCAAAGGAGAUUAGGGAGAUGUGUAAAAUAUGGGAAACUGUAAAAUUCUGUAGAAAAGCACCAUUGGAAUAAAGUUGUAACAGUGCAUAUGAUGAUUGUUUAACCAUAAUGCAGUGUGAAAUCCAUGAAAGGAGACAAAAGCAAGUGUUAUUGGAGAGAUCAUUAAAGUUGCACAAAAUGGAAAAGAUUCCAUUGAGAUGAUAGUAAUGAUUCCCUUAGUGAUAGUGAAACUCAUUCUACACAAUUACCCUCCUCUCUCUUGUCUCCCUCACACCAGCC